This 512-nucleotide ribosomal RNA is filed under the name uncultured Bacillota bacterium. Its description in RNAcentral is "uncultured Firmicutes bacterium partial 16S ribosomal RNA". The record is from RNAcentral. Lineage: Bacteria; Bacillati; Bacillota.
CACGUAGUUAGCCGUGACUUUCUCACAGGGUACCGUCACUGUCUUCUUCCCCUGCGACAACAGUUUACAAUCCGAAGACCUUCUUCCUGCACGCGGCGUUGCUGCGUCAGGGUUGCCCCCAUUGCGCAAUAUUCCCCACUGCUGCCUCCCGUAGGAGUCUGGGCCGUGUCUCAGUCCCAAUGCGGCCGAUCAACCUCCCAGUUCGGCUACAGAUCGUCGCCUUGGUGAGCCCGUUACCUCACCAACCAGCUAAUCUGACGCGAGUCCAUCCAUAAGCGAUAAAUCUUUCAAAAUUCUAUGAUGCCAUAAAAUUUCAAUAUGCGGUAUUAGUCCUCGUUUCCAAGGAUUAUCCCCUCUUAUGGGCAGGUUACUCACGCGUUACUCGCCCGUCCGCCACUUUCCACCCAACAGUUCACCCCGAAGGGAUCACAAAUGGGUUUCUCGUUCGACUUGCAUGUGUUAGGCACGCCGCCAGCGUCGUCUGUAGCCACGAGUACAAACUACUCUGUACG